This is a long non-coding RNA of Gasterosteus aculeatus aculeatus (three-spined stickleback), 447 nucleotides long. The record is from Ensembl. Lineage: Eukaryota; Metazoa; Chordata; Actinopteri; Perciformes; Gasterosteidae.
CCACCACAGACGCGAUGUGUCUCGUCCUGUCUGGUUUUGCCUCGCCUCGUUCCCUUUCAAGGAAAUUCUAGUAUCAGUUUUCUCAAUUAUAUCCUCGAGCCUGUUUAUAGUUUUUGGUUUUCCUCCUAAUGGAGCGAUUUUGAGUUUUUGAUCAUGUUUGAAUAAAGACUGCCUAUUCUGUUCAUCCUUCUGCUCCGGAGUCCUCGCUUAAAUCAAUCAAUUUUGUUGCAAUCCAGGAGUAAAGAGAACAUGGGAGCAAGUCAAAACACAAAAAUAUUAUCCAGAAUGCAAACAGAAAGAGGGCUGAAAUGGUCAAGACGGGGGGGGACCUAAGGCCCCAGACUAUACACCCACCGAGGAGCUGGCACUCCAGCAAAAUAAGGAUAGACCAAUCAUGGAGGGCAUAGCUGGGGGAAGGUCCCCUUGCGAGGCUGGCAGCACUGCGAG